GAGAUGUGUGAUGACGCAUAUCAAUAAGCGGAGGAAAAGAAACUAACAAGGAUUCCCUUAGUAACGGCGAGUGAAGCGGGAAGAGCUCAAAUUUGAAAUCUUCAAGGUUCUACCUUGACGAAUUGUAGUUUAAUAGAAGUGUUUUCUGUUAGUAGGAGUGGCAAAAGUUCUUUGGAAUAGGACAUCAUAGAGGAUGAGAAUCCCGUAUUUGGUCAUUCCUUUCUAGCUUUGUGAUACACUUUCAAAGAGUCGGAUUGUUUGGGAAUGCAGUCCAAAAUGGGUGGUAAAUUUCAUCUAAAGCUAAAUAUUGGCGAGAGACCGAUAGCGAACAAGUACCGUGAGGGAAAGAUGAAAAGAACUUUGAAAAGAGAGUUAAACAGUACGUGAAAUUGUCAAAAGGGAAGCGUUUGACACCAGUGUUGUUUUUCCGAAAAUCAAUUACGAAUGUUUUAUUUUUGAGGAGUUAUGACUUCAUCGGCUUGCUCCUUUCUUUAUGAAACUUUCUUAAUGCACUUUUCGGUUAACAAGUCAACAUCAAUUUCUUUUGUUGUAAAAGGGUAUGAGGAAGGUGGCUUUCUUUUCGGAGAAAGUGUUUAUAGCCUUGUACCUCUGCAAUCGGAGAGAUUGAGGUCUGCAGCGUAGAUCCUUCGGGGUUAGAUACAUUUGUGCUAAGUUAUAGCUUUUCAUAGACAACUUGUUGACUAUGUUUAGUCUUGUAGCUUACUCGCUUAUCGCUAUUUUACCUACGCUUAGGAUGUUGACAGCAGUAUAGACUGU
This 777-nucleotide ribosomal RNA is filed under the name uncultured Neocallimastigales. RNAcentral's name for it is "partial large subunit ribosomal RNA". It matches the Rfam family "Eukaryotic large subunit ribosomal RNA", at positions 23 to 635 of the family's 3401-position model. Lineage: Eukaryota; Fungi; Neocallimastigomycota; Neocallimastigomycetes; Neocallimastigales. The record is from RNAcentral.